RNAcentral lists this ribosomal RNA (619 nucleotides) under Maribacter sp. Its description in RNAcentral is "bacterial SSU rRNA". It matches the Rfam family "Bacterial small subunit ribosomal RNA", at positions 55 to 668 of the family's 1533-position model. The record is from RNAcentral. Lineage: Bacteria; Pseudomonadati; Bacteroidota; Flavobacteriia; Flavobacteriales; Flavobacteriaceae.
AUGCAAGUCGAGGGGUAACAUUUGUGCUUGCCAAGAUGACGACCGGCGCACGGGUGCGCACCGCGUAUGGAACCUGCCUUGUACAGGGGAAUAGCCCAGGGAAACUUGGAUUAAUGCCCCGUAGUACCGUGGCCCGGCAUCGGGAUACGGUUAAAGCCUUCGGGCGGUACAAGAUGGCCAUGCGUCCCAUUAGCUAGUUGGUAAGGUAACGGCUUACCAAGGCUACGAUGGGUAGGGGCCCUGAGAGGGGGAUCCCCCACACUGGUACUGAGACACGGACCAGACUCCUACGGGAGGCAGCAGUGAGGAAUAUUGGACAAUGGAGGAGACUCUGAUCCAGCCAUGCCGCGUGCAGGAAGAAUGCCCUAUGGGUAGUAAACUGCUUUUAUACGGGAAGAAAAAGAGCUACGUGUAGCUUACUGACGGUACCGUAAGAAUAAGGACCGGCUAACUCCGUGCCAGCAGCCGCGGUAAUACGGAGGGUCCGAGCGUUAUCCGGAAUUAUUGGGUUUAAAGGGUCCGUAGGCGGGCCGAUAAGUCAGGGGUGAAAGUCUGCCGCUCAACGGUAGAACUGCCUUUGAAACUGUCGGUCUUGAGUUAUAGUGAAGUUGCCGGAAUA